CUAAAAUCAAAUUCACGGCAUUACAUGACACAAAGCUUGUGUGAACAGCUCUAAGAUAGAUGACAUCCUAGGAUAAGAAGCUACAAUGCAGAAGAAGAAAAAAGUGCAAUACAAGAAAGCUGCGCUCAAGCUUCCUUGCCGGGGUCUUAGAUAAAGUUGGGAGGGUUCACGAUACAACCUCCUCACAAGUAUUCUUCUAGCAUCGUUACCUCCUGACUCGAUCGCAGAGACUGCGGAGGAAAGGAGCACCUGGGUAUCCUUCAUGAGAAUUCUUCUGGCAUCAGAAACAUUGCUGGAGGCUACUCCUAUCAAGCACUACAAGCUUCAAGCCAACAAGCACUAUAAC
Molecule: long non-coding RNA, 346 nt
Filed under: Setaria italica (foxtail millet)
Lineage: Eukaryota; Viridiplantae; Streptophyta; Magnoliopsida; Poales; Poaceae
Description: long non-coding RNA (SITA_LNC001257)
Source: RNAcentral